UGACAGCUGUGAGACUUUUCUAGUGU
RNAcentral lists this non-coding RNA (26 nucleotides) under Rattus norvegicus (Norway rat). Lineage: Eukaryota; Metazoa; Chordata; Mammalia; Rodentia; Muridae. The record is from RNAcentral.